CAAAUGACUCUCGGCAAUGGAUAUCUCGGCUCUUGCAUCGAUGAAGAACGUAGUGAAAUGCGAUACUUGGUGUGAAUUGCAGAAUCUCGUGAACCAUUGAGUCUUUGAACGCAAGUUGUGCCCGAGGCCUUGUGGUCGAGGGCACGUCUGCUUGGGUGUCAUGAC
This 165-nucleotide ribosomal RNA is filed under the name Curcuma aeruginosa. Its description in RNAcentral is "5.8S ribosomal RNA". It matches the Rfam family "5.8S ribosomal RNA". Rfam says of the family: 5.8S ribosomal RNA (5.8S rRNA) is a component of the large subunit of the eukaryotic ribosome. RNAcentral also lists the same sequence under 2 other names. Lineage: Eukaryota; Viridiplantae; Streptophyta; Magnoliopsida; Zingiberales; Zingiberaceae. The record is from RNAcentral.